CGGCUCGAAAGUAUAAUCGAACCACUCUGCAAUUACAGGUUUGAAGCCUGCAUACUGAAACCCCGAAGAUCAUCUAGGC
This is a non-coding RNA of Caligus rogercresseyi, 79 nucleotides long. Lineage: Eukaryota; Metazoa; Arthropoda; Copepoda; Siphonostomatoida; Caligidae. The record is from the annotation of a GenBank genome assembly.